RNAcentral lists this ribosomal RNA (301 nucleotides) under uncultured bacterium. RNAcentral describes it as "partial 16S ribosomal RNA". It matches the Rfam family "Bacterial small subunit ribosomal RNA", at positions 509 to 809 of the family's 1533-position model. The record is from RNAcentral.
CAGCCGCCGCGGGAAUACGAAGGGUGCAAGCGUUAAUCGGAAUUACUGGGCGUAAAGCGUGCGUAGGCGGUGAGUUAAGUCUGCUGUGAAAUCCCCGGGCUCAACCUGGGAAUGGCAGUGGAUACUGGCUCGCUAGAGUGUGUCAGAGGAUGGUGGAAUUCCCGGUGUAGCGGUGAAAUGCGUAGAGAUCGGGAGGAAUAUCAGUGGCGAAGGCGGCCAUCUGGGACAACACUGACGCUGAGGCACGAAAGCGUGGGGAGCAAACAGGAUUAGAUACCCCCGUAGUCCCUGUCCUUAUACA